This 443-nucleotide long non-coding RNA is filed under the name Bos taurus (domestic cattle). RNAcentral describes it as "long non-coding RNA NONBTAT018068". The record is from RNAcentral. Lineage: Eukaryota; Metazoa; Chordata; Mammalia; Artiodactyla; Bovidae.
CACAUUAAAAAGUCAGAACGAAAGAGACCAACAGGAAGAUAAGGAAGAAAGAUAAGAUAGCAAAUGAAAUUGGUUCUAGGCAGAAACAAUUUAAAGAUAAAAGAGUGAAGAGUAGGACGUGGAAUCAAAUUAGACUUGAAGUGAAAGCACAAAAGUCAGGGCAGACUUGGUCUGGAAAUGUUUCCUGUUGACCUCAGAGCCUAUGGUUGCUUUUAUGUAUAAUGCAUAAUAUUAAAUGAGCUUUUCAUGUCACUUAAGUUCUUACCAAUUUGUCAUCAAAGUGACUCUAGUGAUAAUUACCUUGACCCAGAUGCCAUGUAAAGUAAGACCUUAUUUACCAUGCAAGAAAUAAACUGGCUAAAGGGUUAGUUUUGCCCAACCGAUAGUGGUUUGCACCCGCCAGACUUCUCUCAGGGAUUCCCGCACAAAUAGUGUAGGUAGGC